RNAcentral lists this ribosomal RNA (474 nucleotides) under uncultured organism. RNAcentral's name for it is "partial 16S ribosomal RNA". It matches the Rfam family "Bacterial small subunit ribosomal RNA", at positions 333 to 798 of the family's 1533-position model. The record is from RNAcentral.
ACACUCCUACGGGAGGCAGCAGUGGGGAAUUUUGGACAAUGGGCGAAAGCCUGAUCCAGCAAUGCCGCGUGAGUGAAGAAGGCCUUCGGGUUGUAAAGCUCUUUUGUCAGGGAAGAAACGGUGAAGGCUAAUAUCUUUUGCUAAUGACGGUACCUGAAGAAUAAGCACCGGCUAACUACGUGCCAGCAGCCGCGGUACUACGUAGGGUGCAAGCGUUAAUCGGAAUUACUGGGCGUAAAGCGUGCGCAGGCGGUUUUGUAAGUCUGAUGUGAAAUCCCCGGGCUCAACCUGGGAAUUGCAUUGGAGACUGCAAGGCUAGAAUCUGGCAGAGGGGGGUAGAAUUCCACGUGUAGCAGUGAAAUGCGUAGAUAUGUGGAGGAACACCGAUGGCGAAGGCAGCCCCCUGGGUCAAGAUUGACGCUCAUGCACGAAAGCGUGGGGAGCAAACAGGAUUAGAUACCCCGGUAGUCCCAU